GAUGAACGCUAGCGGCGGGCCUAAUACAUGCAAGUCGAACGGGAAAGGUGGCAACACCUUGAGAGUGGCGUACGGGUGCGUAACGCGUAUACAACCUGCCUGUUACACGGGGAUAGCCUUGCGAAAGCGAGAUUAAUACCCGAUGGUACUAUUGAGCGGCAUCGCUUGGUAGUUAAAGCUGAGGCGGUAACAGAGGGGUAUGCGUCCCAUUAGCUAGUUGGUAGUGUAACGGACUACCAAGGCGACGAUGGGUAGGGGUUCUGAGAGGAGGAUCCCCCACACUGGUACUGAGAUACGGACCAGACUCCUACGGGAGGCAGCAGUAGGGAAUAUUGGGCAAUGGACGGAAGUCUGACCCAGCCACGCCGCGUGCAGGAAGAAGGUCCUCUGGAUUGUAAACUGCUUUUCUUGGGGAAGAAAACCCUUCUGCGGAAGGAAUUGACGGUACUCAAGGAAUAAGCAUCGGCUAACUCCGUG
Molecule: ribosomal RNA, 477 nt
Filed under: uncultured bacterium
Lineage: Bacteria
Description: partial 16S ribosomal RNA
Rfam family: Bacterial small subunit ribosomal RNA
Source: RNAcentral